Molecule: unclassified non-coding RNA, 773 nt
Filed under: Hevea brasiliensis (rubber tree)
Lineage: Eukaryota; Viridiplantae; Streptophyta; Magnoliopsida; Malpighiales; Euphorbiaceae
Source: RNAcentral
UUUUCUUAGAAACAAUCUAUUGUGCACUAGAUAAACAAUAACAGCAAAAACAAAGGUGCUAACAAAGAACAUCUGGUUUGGUUUAAGUUCUCGCUAAUUCUCAUUUAACAGAAGUAAUCCCGCUUUCAGUCCUUGCCUAGACAUAAACUUUAGCUACAUAUCAAAAUGUCAGAUGGAAGUAUCCAUAUUAACUAACUUCAAUGACUGUUAAGACCCUAAUCUGGACUGAUAUGCAAGACAUUUCAUUUGUUGAUUACGAACACAUUGAACAAACAAUAUUUUCAUUGCCUAAUUUGCUGACCAAAUAAGAAUAAGAACGUAGCACUCAAUAAUUGUAAUAGGAAAAGAAGAAUCAACACCUAGUGUUUAAGUAAGCUACUCCAUUACUUGUAGCCACAUUUGUCUUCCAAGUUUUUGAGGUGUUUAAUAUCAAGUACUGCAUCAGUGGAGAAUCAAAACAUAGUCAUGAGACAAGCACAUUUAUUUUUAAAGAUGAUACUGCAAGCAGGGCAAGGCCAGCAGUUAAAUAAGGGGAAGAAACUGUUGUUACAAGAGCAUUUUAUAAAAUAAAUUAUACUUUCAAACUAAAUUUAUUAUUAACUUACAAGCUUUAAUCCAUACUCAUAUGUAUUAAUGACUACAUUCAAAAUUUUCAUUUGUAUUAAUUACUACAUUCAGAAUUCUCAUUAAUGAGUUUUAAUUUUAUUCUAAUUUAUCUAUCUAAACAAUUUUGCUUAAAAAUCAUUACACAAAAUCAAAUUGGGGAAUAUUAA